This 530-nucleotide ribosomal RNA is filed under the name Andreiomyces morozianus. RNAcentral's name for it is "eukaryotic LSU rRNA". It matches the Rfam family "Eukaryotic large subunit ribosomal RNA", at positions 40 to 573 of the family's 3401-position model. The record is from RNAcentral. Lineage: Eukaryota; Fungi; Ascomycota; Arthoniomycetes; Arthoniales; Andreiomycetaceae.
AUAUCAAUAAGCGGAGGAAAAGAAACCAACAGGGAUUGCCCCAGUAACGGCGAGUGAAGCGGCAACAGCUCAAAUUUGAAAUCUGGCCCUCUUGGGGGUCCGAGUUGUAAUUUGUAGAGGAUGCUUCGGUGUCGGCCCCGUGCCAAGUUCCUUGGAACAGGACGUCCGAGAGGGUGAGAGCCCCGUAUCGGCUCGGGUGGCCUUCGCCGUGUGAAGCUCCUUCGACGAGUCGAGUUGUUUGGGAAUGCAGCUCUAAGCGGGAGGUAUAUUUCUUCUAAAGCUAAAUAUUCGGUGUCACCGAUAGCGAACAAGUAGAGUGAUCGAAAGAUGAAAAGCACUUUGGAAAGAGAGUUAAACAGCACGUGAAAUUGUUGAAAGGGAAGCUCUUGCCCCCAGACUUGCCCGCGAUCGUUCAGCCUUCCUUUUGGGUGGUGUAUUCGUCCGCGGGCGGGCCAGCAUCAGCUCAAGCGGCCGGAUAAAUACCUUGGGAAUGUAGCUCCCCACGGGGAGUGUUAUAGCCCUUGGUGUAA